RNAcentral lists this ribosomal RNA (443 nucleotides) under uncultured bacterium. RNAcentral's name for it is "partial 16S ribosomal RNA". It matches the Rfam family "Bacterial small subunit ribosomal RNA", at positions 338 to 795 of the family's 1533-position model. The record is from RNAcentral.
CCUACGGGUGGCUGCAGUGAGGAAUAUUGGGCAAUGGGCGCAAGCCUGACCCAGCAACGCCGCGUGAAGGAAGAAGGCUUUCGGGUUGUAAACUUCUUUUCUCAGGGACGAAGCAAGUGACGGUACCUGAUGAAUAAGCCACGGCUAACUACGUGCCAGCAGCCGCGGUAAUACGUAGGUGGCAAGCGUUAUCCGGAUUUACUGGGUGUAAAGGGCGUGUAGGCGGGAGGGCAAGUCAGAUGUGAAAACGAUGGGCUCAACCCAUAGCCUGCUUUUGAAACUGUACUUCUUGAGUGCUGGAGAGGCAGGCGGAAUUCCUGGUGUAGCGGUGAAAUGCGUAGAUAUUAGGAGGAACACCAGUGGCGAAGGCGGACUGCUGGACAGUAACUGACGCUGAGGCGCGAAAGCGUGGGGAGCAAACAGGAUUAGAUACCCUAGUAGUC